UGACUUCAUAAAAACAGAAACGCUGUCUCCAUUCCUUCUCAUUUUCUCACCUUUUCUGCUGUCCAAACCCCUUCCAACCUCUUUUCCAUAAUUCUGCUAUCUCAUUUUGUGCCUGAUUUCGUGCUCAGAUUCUGGAAGGACUAGCUCAACAGGAUUCCCAGCCGCUUCCUCUCUUGGCCCCCAUUCUCCUAGUGGUGGAUUCUCCUAGGUCCAACUGAAACUUCUGCUCUCUCAUAGUUUGCUUGGUUCCACCAAAUUGAAUUCUUGACAAAAAGAUAAAAAUGCAGGCGAAGAUAUACCUUUCCUGGACAGGCGUUGAAUGGGCUUCCAAGGCGUUUUCUGCUGUAGUAGUCAACCGUUUUCCCUAGCGAAUGUUUAGGAUAUUUUAUAACCUUUUAGUGGUGUGGACUGUACAUGUUGAUCAGCGUAUGUAUUUCUUUUUGGAUGACUGUAUUAGAUUAUGCUAG
Molecule: long non-coding RNA, 467 nt
Organism: Vigna unguiculata (cowpea)
Lineage: Eukaryota; Viridiplantae; Streptophyta; Magnoliopsida; Fabales; Fabaceae
Source: RefSeq, a predicted model, not a curated record